Long non-coding RNA from Symphalangus syndactylus (siamang), 513 nucleotides. RefSeq lists it as uncharacterized. The record is from RefSeq and is a predicted model, not a curated record. Lineage: Eukaryota; Metazoa; Chordata; Mammalia; Primates; Hylobatidae.
CAUUUGUAGAACAAAGUGUGUCUUGCAUCUCUCUGGAGGAAGGCUCCUCUGAAAGGCACUGUUUGUGACCCCCUGUGACAGUUGUCUUGGUAUACAAGGAAAAUAUGUCUAGUAAGAAAGAUGAAACAAAGAAAGAGUUGGGAUGUCGAGAAACUGCAAUUCCUAUUAAGAACACUUGACUGUUUACUCAGCACGAGAACUUCAGCCCCAGCCUGCAUCAAUCUAAAUGCGUUUCGAGACGUCAGGCCCCCGAAAAGUGCAGACGGAAAUAAGGAAGCUGACCCUGAAGAAAUAAUGGAGGCCAAGUGGGAGUGUGUACACAGAGGCCCUCGCUAGAGGAUUUGACUCUCCAGGAGGUGAAAGUGAGAAAAAGACACACAUCACCUGCUGUACUUCAGUUUGGAGCUUGGUUCUUAAGAUUGGUUUUCAGUGAACUGAAUACUAAAAAGAUAUUAUAGAGAGAAACAACCCGCCUAGCUGAUUGUUUCUUCCCAAAAUGGAUGUGAUGAUGAG